RNAcentral lists this ribosomal RNA (468 nucleotides) under uncultured bacterium. RNAcentral describes it as "partial 16S ribosomal RNA". It matches the Rfam family "Bacterial small subunit ribosomal RNA", at positions 28 to 507 of the family's 1533-position model. The record is from RNAcentral.
GACGAACGCUGGCGGCGUGCUUAACACAUGCAAGUCGAACGGAAAGGCCCUGCUUUUGUGUGGUUCUCGCGUGGCGAACGGGUGUGUAACACGUGAGUAUCCUGCCCUUGACUUUGGGAUAACUUCAGGAAACUGGGGCUAAUACCGGAUAGGAGCUCCUGCUGCAUGGUGGGGGUUGGAAAGUUUCGGCGGUUGGGGAUGGACUCGCGGCUUAUGAGCUUGUUGGUCGGGUAGUGGCUUACCAAGGCUUCGAUGGAUAGGCGGCGUGGGAGGUUGGACACGGACAUGGGGACUACGGUAGGGCGCAGACUCGAAUGGGGGGCAGUGGUGGGAAACAUGAUCCAAUCAGGGGGAGCGUGUGAAGAAGACCCCGCGAGCGGGAAGAAGGCCUAGUGGUGGGAAACCGCAGUCAGCUGAGACGAUGCGUGAGUGACGGUAAUGGGUGAAGAAGCACCGGCUAACUACGUG